This 529-nucleotide long non-coding RNA is filed under the name Lupinus angustifolius (narrow-leaved blue lupine). RNAcentral describes it as "long non-coding RNA (LANG_LNC001276)". Lineage: Eukaryota; Viridiplantae; Streptophyta; Magnoliopsida; Fabales; Fabaceae. The record is from RNAcentral.
AUUGGAAUUGAAGAGAAAAAGAUGAUUAAGCAGAAAUAUCAUCAGAUCCUAUUAUAAUAAAUGCAUUUCAAUACAUAAAUGAUAAAUAAUUAGUAUGUGAUUGAUAUGGAUGCUUUUUCUACAUCCACUACCACCACCAAUGAUGUUGUUGUAUCACCUACUUCCAGAACACGGUAUAUCUCCAUUUCAUUUCUUAUUUAUUUAAUCUAUAUUUAAGCAUUAACUAAUCAACAACUCACAUUAUAAAAAGUGGUGGCAUUACCAUUAUUAUUAUUUAUGGUUGACUGAUUUAAGGAGAGGGAAAUAAAAAAUAUAAACAUUAAUUCCUUAUAUAUCAAUUAUCAACCAUCAUUAUUCCAACUUAUUUCCAGAUGUCCUGAUUUGGGUGGAAGUUGAACAUACCAAUUUGUGAAACGUGUUGAAGUUUAAAAAAUUAUAUGAAAUUUGGAUAAUAAAGUUCAAAUUAUAGUAACAACAUAUAUCACUAAUAUCACUAUUCUCGAGGAUAAACAUUAAACAAAUAAUCAAG